CCUGUGAGGGUUGCUGGAGGUAUCAGAAGUGCGAAUGCUGACAUAAGUAACGAUAAUGCGGGUGAAAAACCCGCACGCCGGAAGACCAAGGGUUCCUGUCCAACGUUAAUCGGGGCAGGGUGAGUCGACCCCUAAGGCGAGGCUGAAAAGCGUAGUCGAUGGGAAACAGGUUAAUAUUCCUGUACUCGGUGUUACUGCGAAGGGGGGACGGAGAAAGCUAGGUUAUCCGGGCGACGGUUGUCCCGGUUUAAGCGUGAAGGUGGAUGACUUUGGUAAAUCCGGGUCGUCAUUAACACUGAGGCGUGAUGACGAGUCACUACGGUGAUGAAGUAACCAAUGCUACGCUUCCAGGAAAAGCCUCUAAGCUCCAGGUAACAUCAAAUCGUACCCCAAACCGACACAGGUGGUCAGGUAGAGAAUACUCAGGCGCUUGAGAGAACUCGGGUGAAGGAACUAGGCAAAAUGGUGCCGUAACUUCGGGAGAAGGCACGCUGAUGGUAGGUGAAGUGACUUGCUCACGGAGCUGAAAUCAGUCGAAGAUACCAGCUGGCUGCAACUGUUUAAUAAAAACACAGCACUGUGCAAACACGAAAGUGGACGUAUACGGUGUGACGCCUGCCCGGUGCCGGAAGGUUAAUUGAUGGGGUCAGCCGCAAGGCGAAGCUCUUGAUCGAAGCCCCGGUAAACGGCGGCCGUAACUAUAACGGUCCUAAGGUAGCGAAAUUCCUUGUCGGGUAAGUUCCGACCUGCACGAAUGGCGUAAUGAUGGCCAGGCUGUCUCCACCCGAGACUCAGUGAAAUUGAACUCGCUGUGAAGAUGCAGUGUACCCGCGGCAAGACGGAAAGACCCCGUGAACCUUUACUAUAGCUUGACACUGAACCUUGAGCCUUGAUGUGUAGGAUAGGUGGGAGGCUUUGAAGCGUGGACGCCAGUCUGCGUGGAGCCAACCUUGAAAUACCACCCUUUAAUGUUUGAUGUUCUAACGUGGGCCCGUGAUCCGGGUUGCGGACAGUGUCUGGUGGGUAGUUUGACUGGGGCGGUCUCCUCCCAAAGCGUAACGGAGGAGCACGAAGGUUAGCUAAUCCUGGUCGGACAUCAGGAGGUUAGUGCAAAGGCAUAAGCUAGCUUGACUGCGAGAGUGACAGCUCGAGCAGGUGCGAAAGCAGGUCUUAGUGAUCCGGUGGUUCUGAAUGGAAGGGCCAUCGCUCAACGGAUAAAAGGUACUCCGGGGAUAACAGGCUGAUACCGCCCAAGAGUUCAUAUCGACGGCGGUGUUUGGCACCUCGAUGUCGGCUCAUCACAUCCUGGGGCUGAAGUAGGUCCCAAGGGUAUGGCUGUUCGCCAUUUAAAGUGGUACGCGAGCUGGGUUUAGAACGUCGUGAGACAGUUCGGUCCCUAUCUGCCGUGGGCGUUGGAAGAUUGAGAGGGGUUGCUCCUAGUACGAGAGGACCGGAGUGAACGCACCACUGGUGUUCGGGUUGUGAUGCCAAUUGCAUUGCCCGGUAGCUAAGUGCGGAAGAGAUAACCGCUGAAAGCAUCUAAGCGGGAAACUUGCCUCGAGAUGAGUCUUCCCUGGGCACUAGAUGCCCCUGAAGGGCCGUUGAAGACUACGACGUAGAUAGGCUGGGUGUGUAAGCGUAGCGAUACGUUGAGCUAACCAGUACUAAUGACCCGAGAGGCUUAACCUUACAACACCGAAGGUGUUU
RNAcentral lists this ribosomal RNA (1707 nucleotides) under Pectobacterium carotovorum subsp. carotovorum. Its description in RNAcentral is "partial 23S ribosomal RNA". It matches the Rfam family "Bacterial large subunit ribosomal RNA", at positions 1260 to 2925 of the family's 2925-position model. Lineage: Bacteria; Pseudomonadati; Pseudomonadota; Gammaproteobacteria; Enterobacterales; Pectobacteriaceae. The record is from RNAcentral.